GGGCCGUGGGGUAGCUUGGUCUAUCCUCCCGGCUUGGGGUGCCGGAGACCCGGGUUCAAAUCCCGGCGGCCCCACCAA
Molecule: transfer RNA, 78 nt
Filed under: Thermococcus gammatolerans EJ3
Lineage: Archaea; Methanobacteriati; Methanobacteriota; Thermococci; Thermococcales; Thermococcaceae
Description: tRNA-Pro
Rfam family: tRNA
About the family: Transfer RNA (tRNA) molecules are approximately 80 nucleotides in length. Their secondary structure includes four short double-helical elements and three loops (D, anti-codon, and T loops). Further hydrogen bonds mediate the characteristic L-shaped molecular structure. tRNAs have two regions of fundamental functional importance: the anti-codon, which is responsible for specific mRNA codon recognition, and the 3' end, to which the tRNAs corresponding amino acid is attached (by aminoacyl-tRNA synthetases). tRNAs cope with the degeneracy of the genetic code in two manners: having more than one tRNA (with a specific anti-codon) for a particular amino acid; and 'wobble' base-pairing, i.e. permitting non-standard base-pairing at the 3rd anti-codon position.
Source: RNAcentral